Nannospalax galili (Upper Galilee mountains blind mole rat) is the source of this 76-nucleotide small nucleolar RNA. Lineage: Eukaryota; Metazoa; Chordata; Mammalia; Rodentia; Spalacidae. The record is from Ensembl.
UUCCACUGAUGACUUCUGUUUAGUGCCACGUGUCUGGGCCACUGAGACCACAUGAUGGGACUGAGGAUCUGAGGAA